UGUGUGUGUGUGUGUGUGUGUGUGUGUGUGUUCCUCUUCCUCCAUAUGUUCUUCGAGAUCCCCUAAUUCUCUUCCUCGAAACCAAAUUGUGUAUCUAGGAUUGAUACUCGGUCAGUGUUUCAUCUUAUUCCCCUCGGUCCGCCAUCCCCAUUUCUCCUGUCGGAUGUUGAUUGGUGAGCCAUGGAAGUUUUCUGCUGUGACUUUGGUUGAGGUGGGUUGCUAUUGUGCUUUGGCGUCGUGGAUUUAAUCUUCCCCCCUGCCUUUUCCGCUUUGAUUUUGUCCCCGCUCUCAUUUCCAGAGUUGUUUGCCUACUGCCUAUUGUAUUGCAGGUGUUGAUCUGAUGUUUCCUUCGGGCAAACACAACUUCUAUUAGGUGUUCAGGUACUUUAUUCAUGCCCCCUAAUUUAUUUUACUUCGGUUUGAAGCUCGCCCUAUGUUGAUGGUUGGAGUUGGUGGUGCGUUCAUCAGUCUGCUUGCUGCAUCUAUACUAGAUUCAGGUCGUGGAAGUUUUGGUUCUCAACUUUGAACAAUUCGUGUCUAUAGUGCAUUGGUGCAUUGGUGAUUCACUAUCUUUUUUAUGUGCCAGUUCGUUCCUGCCAUAGGUGUUCUCUUUGAUGCCUCCUGCUCUUUGUAGCCAUGAGAGCGAUACUACUAAAAUGUUGACAACUCCUUACGUUAUCAAUUUCCAAUUGCUUUAAUUCUAAGCACAACAGAGAAACAUGCUUGGAAUCAUUGCUUAUACCUAAACCCUCUUUAAUGUGGUGUUUUACUCAUGAAAGAUUUGUGCCAUUUGCAUAUAGUUGUAAUUACAUACUUGCUUGAACUUUGAAUUGGACCUUUCAUCAACCUAUCUUAUGGAACACGAACAGGAGACUUUCCAAAAGCAUAGAUGAUUGUUUCCUUCCUUCACAUGGGCAUGUACCAACCCCAUGUUUGUGCACCUAGAAGAACCGGAAAUCCUCAUUUUGUACCUUCGUGUGGCGGCUGUUCAGUGAGUGACCGACCUGGAUUCCAAUCGAUGCUGGAGCUAUGACCCCAUGGCGACGGUACUGGUUUCUGAGCGAUGCGAUGGACAACUCCUCGCCGAGAUACGACAUGAGGUCUACUCGGUUGCCAUGUCAGUUGCAUGGCGCGAUGGGCAGUGCCAUGGCGGUGAACAAGCAUAUGUCUAUUGGAGUUAUAUCUUCAAGAUUAAUUGAGAGGUUAGUCGACCAUUGGUAGCAGUAGAUGAGGCAUCUGCCAAUAAUUGUAGGUCUGUUCCAAUUGCCGGUUUAUUUCUUUCCCUUUCACGCACGACCAUUUAAUCACAACCUUGCCGCUGAUCUUUGCCCAAUGUCCUCACUAACUCUCUAAUUCGUUCCAAUCCUCCCCCCUUCUUACAUCAUCUCUUCCCCCAAUUCUUUAUGCCUUUUUAGAAUAUGUUUAUUCACACUGUUCUUUAUGCUCAGAAACAAUGCUGGUUCGUUCUGCUGGGUUACCUCAUUCUGCUAGAUUAGAAGGUUUAGGCAUUACCCCAUUUGGAAGGUGAUGCACCGAUUUCUAUACUUUAUCCCUUGCAACUGUACUGUAUUACUCUUUGGCCAAGUGAAAAGUGCAAUCAAAAUACUACUUAGGAUUCAAAUAAAAUAUUCAUAGAGGUCACAUGUUGUCAAGUAGAUAUUCAAAGCCUCUGUUACUGCAAUUUUAGGCUUUCCUUCACUAAAAGCAGGUGAAGGGAAAUACAAAGCCAGAUUACAAUCUGGAAAGCAGGUGAGGGGAAAUACAAAUCUCUCC
RNAcentral lists this long non-coding RNA (1773 nucleotides) under Triticum aestivum (bread wheat). RNAcentral's name for it is "long non-coding RNA (TAES_LNC013256)". Lineage: Eukaryota; Viridiplantae; Streptophyta; Magnoliopsida; Poales; Poaceae. The record is from RNAcentral.